GGGCUGGUAGUCUAGCUGGAAGGACACCUCCUUGGCAUGGAGGAAGUCGGGGGUUCAAGUCCCCCCCAGUCCA
This 73-nucleotide transfer RNA is filed under the name archaeon. RNAcentral's name for it is "tRNA-Ala". It matches the Rfam family "tRNA". From Rfam's summary of the family: Transfer RNA (tRNA) molecules are approximately 80 nucleotides in length. Their secondary structure includes four short double-helical elements and three loops (D, anti-codon, and T loops). Further hydrogen bonds mediate the characteristic L-shaped molecular structure. tRNAs have two regions of fundamental functional importance: the anti-codon, which is responsible for specific mRNA codon recognition, and the 3' end, to which the tRNAs corresponding amino acid is attached (by aminoacyl-tRNA synthetases). tRNAs cope with the degeneracy of the genetic code in two manners: having more than one tRNA (with a specific anti-codon) for a particular amino acid; and 'wobble' base-pairing, i.e. permitting non-standard base-pairing at the 3rd anti-codon position. The record is from RNAcentral.